Molecule: long non-coding RNA, 487 nt
Organism: Toxotes jaculatrix (banded archerfish)
Lineage: Eukaryota; Metazoa; Chordata; Actinopteri; Toxotidae
Exons: 2
Source: RefSeq, a predicted model, not a curated record
UACAAAAGUGUGGCCUAGUCUGCUCUCAGUAAAUAUGAGAUUUUAUUAUGACUGGGAGAAGGAUUGUGCGUUCCCAACAGAGAAACCGAUUGUUCGUGGAGCAAAUGAUCACACCUGUAAAUGAUUGUGGGACAAGCGUGGGCAGAGCUAACAGGACAACAAAGUUUCGGGACAUGUGACCUCCUCUUUGAAGCAGGUGUUCCUAUUUCAUGAUGUGAUAUGGAGGUAUAUCGUCACCUGCACUUUUAACUACACCUGUAUCCCUCCGCCAUACAGAAACUGAUGCAGGACUCAGGUCGUGGCAGUGCGGGCGCACAGGUCUGAAGGCUUGCUAAAAGCUGGAGACCGUCCACGGAGAGCAGGAAACGGCGGAGCAACGUACGUACUACUUGACGCCAAAGCGACCAUCAGCGGGCUCUUAUUUCAUUGUUUGUGCAAGCAUAACAGAUAAAUUUGCAUUUUUAAAAAAAAAUGGCCUGCAGCAACG